This is a long non-coding RNA of Dipodomys ordii (Ord's kangaroo rat), 1319 nucleotides long. RefSeq lists it as uncharacterized. The transcript is spliced from 5 exons. The record is from RefSeq and is a predicted model, not a curated record. Lineage: Eukaryota; Metazoa; Chordata; Mammalia; Rodentia; Heteromyidae.
AAAAAUGUUGAAUAUCAACAAUGGGUUUCAGUGCUGUAUUGUUGAGUUUUGUAUGAACUAAUCUAGCUUCACUAAAAAAAAGAAAAAGAAAAAAAAAGAAAAAGGAAAAAAAAGAGAGAAAAGAAAGAGGGAAGAAAAAAAGAAAAGGAAAAAAACCACAGCUUUGGACAAAAGUCUACACAGCCAGUGCAUCUGAAACUCCCCUUUGCACAGGCUGACUGUAGCUGGGAGAAGACAUUUUACUCAUUUGCUCUCUCCCUUCAUGUGGUCAGCUGGCCCCUCUUCUCAGGUGUAGAUCACCUAUUAUAAUUUCACCUAAUUUUGAUCCUCUGAUGGGGAAAUCCCCGAACUAAUCAACUGAGAUAGGCCUUACUUCCAAGGCAGCCCUGUGCAGUGUGUGCAAGCAAGCCUGACAGGUUUCUCCAGGAAAGUGGCCAUCCAUGGAAUGAAUGAAAUGUUCUCUUUCUAUUCCAGGGAUUGCUGUGCAAAGCUAGGCUAGGUCUGGAGGCUGGUGUAAGGCGAUGCGGGUGAAGGCAGGAGGCUGAUGGAGAGAGAGACUGGGGGGAAGAAAAGCCGAAAUGGAUUCACGGUGCUUGGGAUAGAGGACGAGAAGGGGAACUGCUAGCUCCUUCAACUCGUUCUGUCCGGUGAGAAGUGAUCAAGCCUGGCUGACAAGAGGCUCAGGGAGCCCUCACGUACUUUGCUUUUUUACCUGCCAAUCAAACUGCUACAAGACAACACCCUGAUCUGGCAUGGACAUCGCGGGUCCAAGCCUGUAGCCCCAAAUCGGAUAAUCUCUGCAGCUGAUAACAAGCGAAAGAGAAGCCAGGCAACAGCCAUAUUAAAGAAGAAAACAAUCAACUCUGAGAUCCAACUUAGAAAUAACGUUUGGCUCAAGCUAAAGCUCAUGUUUGGAGAGAGAAUCUGGCCUGGUUUGCCUCAUUCUAAGACUUAUGUCAUCUGCUUUCCAAACCCAGGAAGGACCUCCAUUUCCUGUUGUUGGCUCCUUAUACUUUGCCAGCUGUUGGCACUUUCAGGAAGCUUGACCAGAAAGCCUGGCUGGGAAGGACAGUGUGAGUGCAUCAUAGACAAUGGAUUGUCACCACAGUUUCAGUGACUCAUCAGCGUGGUUGCCCACUUUGAAAUCUCAAGAUCUGUCUGAUCUAAUUGAAACACCUGUGUUUUAGCUGGUUGAAUUGUAUUACAUGGCAAAACCACCUCAAAUUAUGUCCGUGACCAAUAAUUUCUAUGGCUGUUUUCAACAGAAGACAAAGAAAGAAAUGAUUCCUGAAUUGUCCUUUUUUGAAAAAGAAAAAUAA